UUGUGUUUGUGUGGGAUUUUACAGCAGAAGAACAUUCCCUGCGUUAAUGGGGUUCGUUGAUCAAGGGAGCAGAUGUCUGCUUUUCAUCAGGCCACACUGUGCUGUGGUUGUAAAGCCUGAAUGCAAUUAAGAUUUCAGCUGCCACCUAUCAUGAGUGUAAUUACCAGCAGCGCAAAAUCAAACAGUUCAGCCACUUCAUUCCAGGCAUUUAGAAUGCCAAGGGAAUGAGAACAGCCUAAAGUUUAUCCUCUAUGGAUUAGAUUUUCUCCUCUUUCUCCUCCUCUCUCUGUGUCAGACUGUCUCACUAGGGUUGUCAUCAGAACUGUUCCUCCUGAGUCAUAGUAUCGAAAAGUUUAUACUUUUGUACUGUGUGCUGCUGGUGGUAAGGGAGAUUUGCUCCAAUUCAGACACAAGUGAGGCCAGGAAUUGAUGUUGGGUGAUCGGAUCUGGCCUGCUGCUGGCUUUCUGAUUCAUCGCAAAGGUGUUCAGUAGAGUGCUCAGUCAAGUUCUUUCACACCAGACUCAUUAAAUCAUUUCUUAAUGGACCUUGCUCUGUGAAUUUAUACAUGUUUUAAGGUUUGGGGUCUGUAAGAUAUAUAUAUUUUUUGGGGGGUCAGUAAGAUAUUAUGUGUUUUUCUAAGAAGAGUCUUAUAUUCAACAAAGUCUGCAUUUAUUUUAUUUAUUUAUUUUCUUUACAAAAUGUGUGGAAUUAAUUUUCACUUAUUUACAUAAUUUUAGGUUAUAUUAAUUAAACUGUUUUGUUUAAAACAUUAAACUGUUUUGUUUAAAACAUUAAACUGUUAAUUAAACUGUUUUGUUUUUUUAUUAAUAAAUAAUAAAACUAGUUAUUUUAUUUUAUGAUCAAAAAGAACAUUUAGACAUUAUUAGUAGUAGUUGUUGAAAAUGGAAAUGGUAUGUUGCAACAUUCUGUUUGAAGUAUGGAAGUUUUUUUUUAGGAUUGUUUAAACAAAGAUUGAAGAACAGCAUUUUUUUUUUUCAUUUUAAGUAAUAUUAAACUUAACACAUCUAUCUAUCUAUCUAUCUAUCUAUCUAUCUAUCUAUCUAGACUGUGAUUCAUCCACUGGGAUGAAACCCUACUAAAAAUGUAUAUAUAGGCCUAGACUGUUAACUCCAAUUAAAGUUAUUCCAGUUUGUUUGUGUCUAAUCUGCAUCGGAUCUAGGAUUAUUACCAUAUCUAAUUUUUCUUUGAGUUAAUUGUGUGCUGGAGUACAUUGUGUUCCUGAUGUGCACCAGAGUACACAAUGAGGUGUGUUGUACUAUUACGUUUUCAAGCAUGAGUCAGAGCUGGUAACCGGUCCGUCAAAUGAAUCCUGUAUUACUCGCUCGGGCUGAGAUGGGGCUAUCAUACAAAAGCAUCAAGCUCUGUCAAUCUCUGCUAUUUAGAGCCAUUACUGAGUGGCCAUGUGCCAAGGCCUCAUGAUGAGUGAAAUACGGCGUUCUCAGAUGACAGACAUCAUUAUAUUUUCAUUACUGAAUGCUUCUCAUAAAAAAUAAGAUGCUGAGAUGAAUGGGCUGAGGGAAGGAAAGGACAGGAGGAGCUGUGAAUCAGGCAGGAUGAGAAACACAUGUGGGACCUUUCCUCGCAAUCGUCUGCAUUGGAUCAACAUGCGAUGACGUGUCUGAGGAAUUGCAAGAUUCCAGUGGCUGAGUUGCCACACAAUGAGCUUCACGCUCUCAUAUUAUUGAUGAUAUGAUAUGUGUGUCAUUUCGAUGAUGGAAAGUAUUUCUUAGUUGAAUUAGUGAUCACGUUUUAUACUGUUGAAAUGUACGUUCUCCUUCACUGACUCUCCAACGAGUAUUCGUAUUUCACUUUUGGGAAAACUUGA
Molecule: long non-coding RNA, 1847 nt
Organism: Cyprinus carpio carpio
Lineage: Eukaryota; Metazoa; Chordata; Actinopteri; Cypriniformes; Cyprinidae
Source: Ensembl